RNAcentral lists this transfer RNA (72 nucleotides) under Bos taurus (domestic cattle). It matches the Rfam family "tRNA". Rfam says of the family: Transfer RNA (tRNA) molecules are approximately 80 nucleotides in length. Their secondary structure includes four short double-helical elements and three loops (D, anti-codon, and T loops). Further hydrogen bonds mediate the characteristic L-shaped molecular structure. tRNAs have two regions of fundamental functional importance: the anti-codon, which is responsible for specific mRNA codon recognition, and the 3' end, to which the tRNAs corresponding amino acid is attached (by aminoacyl-tRNA synthetases). tRNAs cope with the degeneracy of the genetic code in two manners: having more than one tRNA (with a specific anti-codon) for a particular amino acid; and 'wobble' base-pairing, i.e. permitting non-standard base-pairing at the 3rd anti-codon position. Lineage: Eukaryota; Metazoa; Chordata; Mammalia; Artiodactyla; Bovidae. RNAcentral also lists the same sequence under 5 other names. The record is from Rfam by way of RNAcentral.
UCCCUGGUGGUCCAGUGGUUAGGACUUGGUGCUUUCACUGCCAGUGCCUGGGUUCAAUCCCUGGAGGGGGAA